RNAcentral lists this transfer RNA (75 nucleotides) under Elusimicrobia bacterium GWB2_63_22. RNAcentral's name for it is "tRNA-Arg". It matches the Rfam family "tRNA". From Rfam's summary of the family: Transfer RNA (tRNA) molecules are approximately 80 nucleotides in length. RNAcentral also lists the same sequence under 2 other names. The record is from RNAcentral. Lineage: Bacteria; Pseudomonadati; Elusimicrobiota.
GCCCCCUUCGUUCAACGGAUAGGACGAGAGUUUCCUAAACUCCAAAUAGAGGUUCGAUUCCUCUAGGGGGCACCA